Molecule: non-coding RNA, 62 nt
Filed under: Alexandrium minutum
Lineage: Eukaryota; Dinophyceae; Gonyaulacales; Pyrocystaceae
Source: RNAcentral
UUUUUUUUUUUUUUUUUUUUUUUUUUUUUUUUUUUUUUUUGUUUAAUGCACCUUUAAUGCAC